CAGUAGCCACGGUAAUACGUAGGUGGCAAGCGUUGUCCGGAAUUAUUGGGCGUAAAGGGCUCGCAGGCGGAUAGGUCAGUCUGUCUUAAAAGUUCGGGGCUUACCCCGUGAUGGGAUGGAAACUGCCAAUCUAGAGUAUCGGAGAGGAAAGUGGAAUUCCUAGUGUAGCGGUGAAAUGCGCAGAUAUUAGGAAGAACACCAGUGGCGAAGGCGACUUUCUGGACGAAAACUGACGCUGAGGCGCGAAAGCCAGGGGAGCAAAUGGGAUUAGAUACCCGCGUAGUCCCUGUCUCUUAUACAC
Molecule: ribosomal RNA, 301 nt
Filed under: uncultured bacterium
Lineage: Bacteria
Description: partial 16S ribosomal RNA
Rfam family: Bacterial small subunit ribosomal RNA
Source: RNAcentral